RNAcentral lists this small nuclear RNA (138 nucleotides) under Pseudomassariella vexata. RNAcentral describes it as "U4 spliceosomal RNA". It matches the Rfam family "U4 spliceosomal RNA". From Rfam's summary of the family: U4 small nuclear RNA (U4 snRNA) is a component of the major U2-dependent spliceosome. The record is from Rfam by way of RNAcentral. Lineage: Eukaryota; Fungi; Ascomycota; Sordariomycetes; Amphisphaeriales; Pseudomassariaceae.
AUCCUCGAGCAAGGGCAUCAGGUAUGUCAGGGAGGACCUCGUCCGAGACAACCGUUUUGCCAUUUGGAAACUACGUUAGACCAACUCCCAGUCGAGGUUUUUUGACCGGCGGGGGAAUUUUGCACCUCAUCUCUUUGC